This 262-nucleotide ribosomal RNA is filed under the name uncultured bacterium. RNAcentral's name for it is "partial 16S ribosomal RNA". It matches the Rfam family "Bacterial small subunit ribosomal RNA", at positions 515 to 776 of the family's 1533-position model. The record is from RNAcentral.
CCGCGGUAAUACGAAGGGUGCAAGCGUUAAUCGGAAUUACUGGGCGUAAAGCGCGCGUAGGCGGCUAUUCAAGUCGGGGGUGAAAGCCCGGGGCUCAACCCCGGAACUGCCCUCGAAACUAGGUAGCUAGAAUCUUGGAGAGGUCAGUGGAAUUCCGAGUGUAGAGGUGAAAUUCGUAGAUAUUCGGAAGAACACCAGUGGCGAAGGCGACUGACUGGACAAGUAUUGACGCUGAGGUGCGAAAGCGUGGGGAGCAAACAGG